AUUCCAUGUGUAGCGGUAAAAUGUGUAAAUAUAUGGAGGAACACCAGAAGCGUAGGCGGCUUGCUGGGUCUUUACUGACGCUGAGGCACGAAAGCGUGGGUAGCAAACAGGAUUAGAUACCCUGGUAGUCCACGCCGUAAACGAUGAGUACUAAGUGUCGGGGUAAAACUCGGUACUGAAGUUAACACAUUAAGUACUCCGCCUGAGUAGUACGUACGCAAGUAUGAAACUUAAAGGAAUUGACGGGACUCCGCACAAGCGGUGGAUCAUGUUGUUUAAUUCGAAGAUACACGAAAAAUCUUACCAGGUCUUGACAUACUCUGCAAAGCUAUAGAAAUAUAGUGGAGGUUAUCAGGGAUACAGGUGGUGCAUGGUUGUCGUCAGUUCGUGUCGUGAGAUGUUAGGUUAAGUCCUAAAACGAGCGCAACCCUUGUCGUUAAUUGCCAGCACGUAAUGGUGGGGACUUUAGCGAGACUGCCAAUUAAACAUUGGAGGAAGGUGAGGAUUACGUCAAAUCAUCAUGCCCCUUAUGAUCUGGGCUACAAACGUGAUACAAUGGCUGUGACAAAGAGUAGCUGAGACGCGAGUUUUUAGCCAAUCUCAAAAAAGCAGUCUCAGUUCGGAUUGAAGUCUGUAACUCGACUUCAUGAAGUUGGAAUCGCUAGUAAUCGCGAAUCAGCAUGUCGCGGUGAAUACGUUCUCGGGGUUUGUACACGCCGCCCGUCAAACCACGAAAGUUAGCAUUACCCGAAAACAGUAGCUUAACUUCCUAAGAAGAGGGAACUGUCUAAGGUAGGGUUGAUGAUUGGGGUUAAUUCGUAACAAGGUAUCCCUA
This 835-nucleotide ribosomal RNA is filed under the name Candidatus Phytoplasma trifolii. RNAcentral's name for it is "bacterial SSU rRNA". It matches the Rfam family "Bacterial small subunit ribosomal RNA", at positions 666 to 1504 of the family's 1533-position model. Lineage: Bacteria; Bacillati; Mycoplasmatota; Mollicutes; Acholeplasmatales; Acholeplasmataceae. The record is from RNAcentral.